Molecule: ribosomal RNA, 579 nt
Filed under: uncultured bacterium
Lineage: Bacteria
Description: bacterial SSU rRNA
Rfam family: Bacterial small subunit ribosomal RNA
Source: RNAcentral
CCUACGGGAGGCAGCAGUGGGGAAUCUUGCGCAAUGGCCUAACGGCUGACGCAGCGACGCCGCGUGUGGGAUGAAGCUCUUCGGAGUGUAAACCACUGUUGCCCGGGACGAACAGCUCGAUUUCUCGAGCCUGACGGUACCGGGUGAGGAAGCACCGGCUAACUCCGUGCCAGCAGCCGCGGUAAUACGGGGGGUGCGAGCGUUGUCCGGAAUCACUGGGCGUAAAGGGCGCGUAGGUGGUUUGAUAAGGGUGUGGUGAAAGUCCGGGGCUCAACCCCGGAUCUGCCGUGCCGACUGUCAAACUCGAGGACUGUAGAGGCAGACGGAAUUCCGGAUGUAGCGGUGGAAUGCGUAGAGAUCCGGAGGAAGACCGGUGGCGAAGGCGGUCUGCUGGGCAGUUUCUGACACUGAGGCGCGACAGCGUGGGGAGCAAACAGGAUUAGAUACCCUGGUAGUCCACGCCGUAAACGAUGGGUACUAGGUGCCUGGGGGAGCGACCCUCUGGGUGCCGGCGCUAACGCAGGAAGUACCCCGCCUGGGGAGUACGACCGCAAGGUUGAAACUCAAAGGAAUUGACGG